This 612-nucleotide ribosomal RNA is filed under the name uncultured bacterium. RNAcentral describes it as "bacterial SSU rRNA". It matches the Rfam family "Bacterial small subunit ribosomal RNA", at positions 66 to 675 of the family's 1533-position model. The record is from RNAcentral.
ACGGAAACAUGUCUAGCUUGCUAGAUGAUGUCGAGUGGCGGACGGGUGAGUAAUACUUAGGAACAUGCCUUUGGGUGGGGGAUAACUAUUGGAAACGAUAGCUAAUACCGCAUAAUGUCUACGGACCAAAGGGGGCUUCGGCUCCCGCCCAGAGAGUGGCCUAAGCGAGAUUAGCUAGUUGGUGUGGUAAAGGCUCACCAAGGCGACGAUCUCUAGCUGUUCUGAGAGGAAGAUCAGCCACACUGGAACUGAGACACGGUCCAGACUCCUACGGGAGGCAGCAGUGGGGAAUAUUGCACAAUGGGGGAAACCCUGAUGCAGCCAUGCCGCGUGUGUGAAGAAGGCCUUCGGGUUGUAAAGCACUUUCAGUAAGGAGGAAAGGGAUGUAGUUAAUAGCUGCAUUCUGUGACGUUACUUACAGAAGAAGCACCGGCUAACUUCGUGCCAGCAGCCGCGGUAAUACGAGGGGUGCAAGCGUUAAUCGGAAUUACUGGGCGUAAAGCGUUCGUAGGCGGUUGAUUAAGCAAGAUGUGAAAGCCCAGGGCUCAACCUUGGAACUGCAUUUUGAACUGGUCAACUAGAGUACUGUAGAGGGUGGUGGAAUUUCCAGUG